Molecule: microRNA, 23 nt
Filed under: Oryza sativa (Asian cultivated rice)
Lineage: Eukaryota; Viridiplantae; Streptophyta; Magnoliopsida; Poales; Poaceae
Description: osa-miR5073
Source: miRBase by way of RNAcentral
GUUUGGUGAAUCGGAAACUAUUU